ACCUGGGUGGCUCAGUUGGUUGAGCGCCCGACUUUGGCUCAGGUCAUGAUCUCGCCAUUCAUGGGUUCGAGACCCAUGUCAGGCU
Molecule: transfer RNA, 85 nt
Filed under: Felis catus (domestic cat)
Lineage: Eukaryota; Metazoa; Chordata; Mammalia; Carnivora; Felidae
Rfam family: tRNA
About the family: Transfer RNA (tRNA) molecules are approximately 80 nucleotides in length.
Source: Rfam by way of RNAcentral